RNAcentral lists this ribosomal RNA (461 nucleotides) under uncultured bacterium. RNAcentral's name for it is "bacterial SSU rRNA". It matches the Rfam family "Bacterial small subunit ribosomal RNA", at positions 337 to 796 of the family's 1533-position model. The record is from RNAcentral.
UCCUACGGGAGGCAGCAGUGAGGAAUAUUGGUCAAUGGGCGUAAGCCUGAACCAGCCAAGUAGCGUGCAGGAUGACGGCCCUACGGGUUGUAAACUGCUUUUGCCGGGGAAUAAAGUUCGGGACGCGUCCCGUUUUGUAUGUACCCGGAGAAUAAGGACCGGCUAAUUCCGUGCCAGCAGCCGCGGUAAUACGGAAGGUCCGGGCGUUAUCCGGAUUUAUUGGGUUUAAAGGGAGCGCAGGCCGGAGAUUAAGCGUGACGUGAAAUGCCGCGGCUCAACCGUGGAAGUGCGUCGCGAACUGGUCUCCUUGAGUGGGUGCGACGUGUGCGGAAUUCGUGGUGUAGCGGUGAAAUGCUUAGAUAUCACGAAGAACCCCGAUUGCGAAGGCAGCGCACGAGUCCCUUACUGACGCUAAAGCUCGAAGGUGCGGGUGUCGAACAGGAUUAGUACCCUGGUAGUCC